RNAcentral lists this ribosomal RNA (493 nucleotides) under uncultured bacterium. RNAcentral describes it as "partial 16S ribosomal RNA". It matches the Rfam family "Bacterial small subunit ribosomal RNA", at positions 30 to 523 of the family's 1533-position model. The record is from RNAcentral.
AUUGAACGCUGGCGGCAUGCUUUACACAUGCAAGUCGAACGGUAACAGGUUAAGCUGACGAGUGGCGAACGGGUGAGUAAUGCAUCGGAACGUGCCCGAUCGUGGGGGAUAACACUUCGAAAGAAGUGCUAAUACCGCAUACGAUCUGAGGAUGAAAGCGGGGGACCGUAAGGCCUCGCGCGAUCGGAGCGGCCGAUGUCAGAUUAGGUAGUUGGUGGGGUAAAGGCUCACCAAGCCGACGAUCUGUAGCUGGCCUGAGAGGACGACCAGCCAAACUGGGACUGAGACACGGCCCAGACUCCUACGGGAGGCAGCAGUGGGGAAUUUUGGACAAUGGGCGCAAGCCUGAUCCAGCAAUGCCGCGUGCAGGAAGAAGGCCUUCGGGUUGUAAACUGCUUUUGUACGGAGCGAAAAGGCUCCCUCUAAUACAGGGGGCUCAUGACGGUACCGUAAGAAUAAGCACCGGCUAACUACGUGCCAGCAGCCGCCGUAA